CCUACGGGCGGCUGCAGUGGGGAAUAUUGGACAAUGGGGGCAACCCUGAUCCAGCCAUGCCGCGUGUGUGAAGAAGGCCCUCGGGUUGUAAAGCACUUUCAGUGAGGAAGAACGCCUGGUGGUUAAUACCCAUCAGGAAAGACAUCACUCACAGAAGAAGCACCGGCUAACUCCGUGCCAGCAGCCGCGGUAAUACGGAGGGUGCGAGCGUUAAUCGGAAUUACUGGGCGUAAAGCGUGCGUAGGUGGCUUGAUAAGCCGGUUGUGAAAGCCCCGGGCUCAACCUGGGAACGGCAUCCGGAACUGUCAAGCUAGAGUGCAGGAGAGGAAGGUAGAAUUCCUGGUGUAGCGGUGAAAUGCGUAGAGAUCGGGAGGAAUACCAGUGGCGAAGGCGGCCUUCUGGACUGACACUGACACUGAGGUGCGAAAGCGUGGGUAGCAAACAGGAUUAGAUACCCUUGUAGUC
This 465-nucleotide ribosomal RNA is filed under the name Vreelandella stevensii. RNAcentral's name for it is "partial 16S ribosomal RNA". It matches the Rfam family "Bacterial small subunit ribosomal RNA", at positions 338 to 795 of the family's 1533-position model. The record is from RNAcentral. Lineage: Bacteria; Pseudomonadati; Pseudomonadota; Gammaproteobacteria; Oceanospirillales; Halomonadaceae.